This 254-nucleotide ribosomal RNA is filed under the name uncultured bacterium. Its description in RNAcentral is "partial 16S ribosomal RNA". It matches the Rfam family "Bacterial small subunit ribosomal RNA", at positions 524 to 776 of the family's 1533-position model. The record is from RNAcentral.
UACGGGGGGAGCAAGCGUUGUUCGGAUUUACUGGGCGUAAAGGGCGCGUGGGCGGUCAGCACAAGUCAGUUGUGAAAUCUCCGGGCUUAACUCGGAAAGGUCAACUGAUACUGUGCGACUAGAGUGCAGAAGGGGCAACUGGAAUUCUCGGUGUAGCGGUGAAAUGCGUAGAUAUCGAGAGGAACACCUGCGGCGAAGGCGGGUUGCUGGGCUGACACUGACGCUGAUGCGCGAAAGCCAGGGGAGCGAACGGG